GACGAACGCUGGCGGCGUGGAUUAGGCAUGCAAGUCGAACGGUAUCAUCCUUUCGGGGGUGAGAGAGUGGCGAACUGGUGAGUAACACGUAGGUUAUCUACCCUCAAGACGGGGACAACCCAGGGAAACUUGGGCUAAUACCGGAUGUGAGCAACUUUUAGUUGUUUGACAGGUGGCGUAAGCUGUCGCUUGGGGAUGAGCCUGCGUCCUAUUAGUUAGUUGGUGAGGUAACGGCUCACCUAGGCAAUGAUAGGUAGGCGGCCUUAACGGGUGGUCGCCCACACUGGGAUUGAGAUACGGCCCAGACUCCUACGGGAGGCAGCAGUCGAGAAUAGUCUACAAUGGUCGGAAGACUGAUAGUGCGACGCCGCGUGAACGAUGAAUCCCUUCGGGGUUAAAGUUCUUUUAUAUGUGAGCAGUGCUUCUUAUAUUAACAGUAUGGGGAAGAGAUAUUAGCAUAUGAAUAAGCAACGGCUAAACUCCGUGCCCAAGCAGCCGAAC
Molecule: ribosomal RNA, 501 nt
Filed under: uncultured bacterium
Lineage: Bacteria
Description: bacterial SSU rRNA
Rfam family: Bacterial small subunit ribosomal RNA
Source: RNAcentral